UUGAAGGGUUUGAUCCUGGCUCAGAAUGAACGUUGGCGGCGUGGAUUAGGCAUGCAAGUCGUGCGGAAAGGCCCCGCAAGGGGUACUCGAGCGGCGAAAGGGAUAGUAAUGCGUAGGUAACCAACCCCCGGGACGGGGAUAGCUGGGGGAAACCCCAAUUAAUACCCGAUAACGUCUUCGGACCAAAGGUGCGAUUCCGCCUGGGGAC
Molecule: ribosomal RNA, 208 nt
Filed under: Planctomycetota bacterium
Lineage: Bacteria; Pseudomonadati; Planctomycetota
Description: Planctomycetes bacterium (hot springs metagenome) partial 16S ribosomal RNA
Rfam family: Bacterial small subunit ribosomal RNA
Source: RNAcentral